RNAcentral lists this ribosomal RNA (107 nucleotides) under Escherichia coli. Lineage: Bacteria; Pseudomonadati; Pseudomonadota; Gammaproteobacteria; Enterobacterales; Enterobacteriaceae. The record is from RNAcentral. RNAcentral also lists the same sequence under 7 other names.
GUAGCGCGGUGGUCCCACCUGACCCCAUGCCGAACUCAGAAGUGAAACGCCGUAGCGCCGAUGGUAGUGUGGGGUCUCCCCAUGCGAGAGUAGGGAACUGCCAGACA